GGGUUGUGAGGUUAAGCGACUAAGCGUACACGGUGGAUGCCCUGGCAGUCAGAGGCGAUGAAGGACGUGCUAAUCUGCGAUAAGCGUCGGUAAGGUGAUAUGAACCGUUAUAACCGGCGAUUUCCGAAUGGGGAAACCCAGUGUGUUUCGACACACUAUCAUUAACUGAAUCCAUAGGUUAAUGAGGCGAACCGGGGGAACUGAAACAUCUAAGUACCCCGAGGAAAAGAAAUCAACCGAGAUUCCCCCAGUAGCGGCGAGCGAACGGGGAGCAGCCCAGAGCCUGAAUCAGUGUGUGUGUUAGUGGAAGCGUCUGGAAAGGCGCGCGAUACAGGGUGACAGCCCCGUACACAAAAAUGCACAUGCUGUGAGCUCGAUGAGUAGGGCGGGACACGUGGUAUCCUGUCUGAAUAUGGGGGGACCAUCCUCCAAGGCUAAAUACUCCUGACUGACCGAUAGUGAACCAGUACCGUGAGGGAAAGGCGAAAAGAACCCCGGCGAGGGGAGUGAAAAAGAACCUGAAACCGUGUACGUACAAGCAGUGGGAGCACAGAGCAAUCUGUGUGACUGCGUACCUUUUGUAUAAUGGGUCAGCGACUUAUAUUCUGUAGCAAGGUUAACCGAAUAGGGGAGCCGAAGGGAAACCGAGUCUUAACUGGGCGUUAAGUUGCAGGGUAUAGACCCGAAACCCGGUGAUCUAGCCAUGGGCAGGUUGAAGGUUGGGUAACACUAACUGGAGGACCGAACCGACUAAUGUUGAAAAAUUAGCGGAUGACUUGUGGCUGGGGGUGAAAGGCCAAUCAAACCGGGAGAUAGCUGGUUCUCCCCGAAAGCUAUUUAGGUAGCGCCUCGUGAAUUCAUCUCCGGGGGUAGAGCACUGUUUCGGCAAGGGGGUCAUCCCGACUUACCAACCCGAUGCAAACUGCGAAUACCGGAGAAUGUUAUCACGGGAGACACACGGCGGGUGCUAACGUCCGUCGUGAAGAGGGAAACAACCCAGACCGCCAGCUAAGGUCCCAAAGUCAUGGUUAAGUGGGAAACGAUGUGGGAAGGCCCAGACAGCCAGGAUGUUGGCUUAGAAGCAGCCAUCAUUUAAAGAAAGCGUAAUAGCUCACUGGUCGAGUCGGCCUGCGCGGAAGAUGUAACGGGGCUAAACCAUGCACCGAAGCUGCGGCAGCGAC
This 1181-nucleotide ribosomal RNA is filed under the name Escherichia coli. Its description in RNAcentral is "partial 23S ribosomal RNA". It matches the Rfam family "Bacterial large subunit ribosomal RNA", at positions 1 to 1212 of the family's 2925-position model. Lineage: Bacteria; Pseudomonadati; Pseudomonadota; Gammaproteobacteria; Enterobacterales; Enterobacteriaceae. The record is from RNAcentral.